This 90-nucleotide transfer RNA is filed under the name Gammaproteobacteria bacterium. RNAcentral's name for it is "tRNA-Ser". It matches the Rfam family "tRNA". Rfam says of the family: Transfer RNA (tRNA) molecules are approximately 80 nucleotides in length. Their secondary structure includes four short double-helical elements and three loops (D, anti-codon, and T loops). Further hydrogen bonds mediate the characteristic L-shaped molecular structure. tRNAs have two regions of fundamental functional importance: the anti-codon, which is responsible for specific mRNA codon recognition, and the 3' end, to which the tRNAs corresponding amino acid is attached (by aminoacyl-tRNA synthetases). tRNAs cope with the degeneracy of the genetic code in two manners: having more than one tRNA (with a specific anti-codon) for a particular amino acid; and 'wobble' base-pairing, i.e. permitting non-standard base-pairing at the 3rd anti-codon position. The record is from RNAcentral. Lineage: Bacteria; Pseudomonadati; Pseudomonadota; Gammaproteobacteria.
GGAGAGGUGGCCGAGCGGUUUAAGGCACCAGUCUUGAAAACUGGCAGGGGCUUACGCUCCUCGUGAGUUCGAAUCUCACCCUCUCCGCCA